RNAcentral lists this ribosomal RNA (497 nucleotides) under uncultured bacterium. RNAcentral's name for it is "partial 16S ribosomal RNA". It matches the Rfam family "Bacterial small subunit ribosomal RNA", at positions 28 to 507 of the family's 1533-position model. The record is from RNAcentral.
GACGAACGCUGGCGGCGUGCCUAAUACAUGCAAGUCGAGCGAACAGACGAGGACUUUGCUCCCCUGACGUUAUCGGCGGACGGGUGAGUCACAUGUGGAUAACCUACCUAAAAGACUGGGAUAACUUCGGGAAACCGGAUCUUAUACCGGAAAAUUUAUUGAACCGCAUGGUUCACUAGUGAAAUACGGUUUUGCUGUCACUAAUAGAUGGAUCCGCGCCGCAUCAGCUAGUUGGUAAGGUAACGGCUUACCAAGGCAACGAUGCGUAGCCGCCCUGAGCGGGUGAUCGGCCACACUGGAACUGAGACACGGUCCAGACUCCUACGGGAGGCAGCAGUAGGGAAUCUUCCGCAAUGGGCGAAAGCCUAACGGAGCAACACCGCGUGAGGGAUGAAGGUCUUCGGAUCGUAAAACUCUGUUAUUAGGGAAGAAGAAAUGUGUAAGUAACUGUGCACGUCUUGACGGUACCUAAUCAGAAAGCCACGGCUAACUACGUG